RNAcentral lists this ribosomal RNA (303 nucleotides) under uncultured bacterium. RNAcentral's name for it is "partial 16S ribosomal RNA". It matches the Rfam family "Bacterial small subunit ribosomal RNA", at positions 507 to 807 of the family's 1533-position model. The record is from RNAcentral.
AGCAGUCGCCACGGUAAUACGAAGGGGGCUAGCGUUGUUCGGAUUUACUGGGCGUAAAGCGCACGUAGGCGGACUUUUAAGUCAGGGGUGAAAUCCCGGGGCUCAACCCCGGAACUGCCUUUGAUACUGGAAGUCUUGAGUAUGGUAGAGGUGAGUGGAAUUCCGAGUGUAGAGGUGAAAUUCGUAGAUAUUCGGAGGAACACCAGUGGCGAAGGCGGCUCACUGGACCAUUACUGACGCUGAGGUGCGAAAGCGUGGGGAGCAAACAGGAUUAGAUACCCCCGUAGUCCCUGUCUCUUAUAC